GACCCUUCGGGGUUAGUGGCGGACGGGUGAGUAACGCGUGAGGAUCUGCCUUCAGGUCUGGGACAACAGUUGGAAACGACUGCUAAUACCGGAUGUGCCGAGAGGUGAAAGGCUUGCUGCCUGAAGAUGAACUCGCGUCUGAUUAGCUAGUUGGUGAGGUAAAGGCUCACCAAGGCGACGAUCAGUAGCUGGUCUAAGAGGAUGAUCAGCCACACUGGGACUGAGACACGGCCCAGACUCCUACGGGAGGCAGCAGUGAGGGAUAUUGCACAAUGGGCGAAAGCCUGAUGCAGCAACGCCGCGUGGGCGAAGAAGGUUUUCGGAUCGUAAAGCCCUUUUCCGAGUGACGAGGAAGGACGGUAGCUCGGGAAUAAGCGUCGGCUAACUACGUGCCAGCAGCCGCGGUAAAACGUAGGACGCAAGCGUUAUCCGGAAUUACUGGGCGUAAAGCGCGUGUAGGCGGAUGCAUAAGUCAGGCGUGAAAGCUCCCGGCUAAACUGGGAGAGGUCGUCUGAAACUGUGUAUCUAGAGUGUGGCAGAGGGAUGUGGAAUUCCGCGUGUAGUGGUGAAAUGCGUAGAUAUCAUCGGGAACACCUGUGGCGAAAGCGGCUCACUGGGUCUCUUCUGACACUGAGGCACGAAAGCCAGGGGAGCGAACGGGAUUAGAUACCCUGGUA
Molecule: ribosomal RNA, 677 nt
Filed under: uncultured bacterium
Lineage: Bacteria
Description: bacterial SSU rRNA
Rfam family: Bacterial small subunit ribosomal RNA
Source: RNAcentral